GAUGAACGCUAGCGGAAGGCCCAACACAUGCAAGUCGAGCGGUAUUUGGUAGCUUGCUACUACAGAGAGCGGCGUACGGGUGCGUAACAUGUGUGCAACCUACCCUUAUCAAGGGGAUAGCCAUUCAAAAGGAUGAUUAAUACCCUAUAAUAUAUCAGGUGGCAUCAUUUGAUAUUGAAAGCUACGGUGGAUAAGGAUGGGCACGCACAAGAUUAGCUAGUUGGUAAGGUAACGGCUUACCAAGGCGAUGAUCUUUAGGGGUCCUGAGAGGGAGAUCCCCCACACUGGGACUGAGACACGGUCCAGACUCCUACGGGAGGCAGCACUGAGGAAUAUUGGACAAUGGGUGGCAGCCUGAUCCAACCAUUCCGCGAGCAAGAAGAACGUCUUAUGGAUUGAAAACUGCUUUUAUAUAGGGAUAAACCUACUCUCGAGAGGGUAGCUGAAGGUACUAUAUGAAUAAGCACCGGCUAACUCCGUGACAGCAGCCGCUGUAAUACUGAGGGUGCAAGCGUUAUCCGGACUUAUUGGGUUUAAAGGCUCAGUAGGCGGGUUAUUAAGUCAGUGAUGAAAUCUCAUAGCUCAACUAUGAAACUGCCAUUUGAUACUGAUAGACUUGAGUAUAUUUGAAGAGACUGGAAUAACUAGUGUAGCGGUGAAAUGCAUAGAUAUUACUUAGAACACCAAUAGCGAAGGCAGGUCACUAAGAUAUUACUGACGCUGAGGGACGAGAGCGUAGGGAGCGAACAGGAUUAGAUACCCUGGUAGUCUACGCUGUAAACGAUGCUAACUCGUUUUUGGUAUUUAUGUAUCAGAGAGUAAUCGAAAGUGAUAAGUUAGCCACCUGGGGAGUACGCUCGCAAGAGUGUAACUCAAAGGAAUUGACGGGGGCCCGCACAAGCGGUGGAUUAUGUGGGUUAAUUCGAUGAUACGCGAGGAACCUUACCAAGACUUAAAUGGGAAUUGACAGCUAUAGAGAUAUGGUUUUCUUCGGACAAUUUUCCAGGUGCUGCAUGGUUGUCGUCAGCUCGUGCCGUGAGGUGUUAGGUUAAGUCCUGCAACGAGCGCAACCCUUGUCACUAGUUGCCAUCAUUAAGUUGGGGACUCUAGUGAGACUGCCUACGCAAGUAGAGAGGAAGGUGGGGAUGACGUCAAAUCAUCACGGCCCUUACGUCUUGGGCCACACACGUAAUACAAUGGGCGAUACAGAGGGCAGCUACACAGCGAUGUGAUGCGAAUCUCGAAAGUCCUUUUCAGUUCGGAUUGGAGUUUGCAACUUGACUCUCUGAAGCCGGAAUCGCUAGUAAUUGCGUAUCAGCCAUGACGCGGUGAAUACGUUCCCGGGCCU
This 1348-nucleotide ribosomal RNA is filed under the name uncultured bacterium. Its description in RNAcentral is "bacterial SSU rRNA". It matches the Rfam family "Bacterial small subunit ribosomal RNA", at positions 28 to 1381 of the family's 1533-position model. The record is from RNAcentral.